CAUAAGCACUAGAGAUUAGGGAUAUUAUUAGGCCUACAAUUAAGUUCAACUAACUUAAGCACAAGCCUAAGAAGUCGUACUUGAAGGAAUUGAUAAAAACUCGUCCGUGGUUCUGACACAAACAAAAAAAAUCAAGUAUUUUGUUUAGGAUUAACCUCUUAAGUGCCAAUUUAGUGGUAUUAUUGGCAAGACCCCUAGAGUUUCAAAAUAUGAAAAUCAUUGCAAAUGUGUGAACUGACUAACCUUUCAUUUAGUUAUAUAUCUAAUCCCUUACUUCGGUUUUUCUUUAUAUUCUUAGCUCUAACCAUGGUGAAGCUAGAAGUACUUUGAGAAUGCAAAUUAGGACUUUCCAAAAGCUCUCUGUCACCAUAAUCAUUAUUGGCCAUAUCAUCCCAAAAGGCUUGAAGGAACUUUUUAUUGUUGAGAUAUUUGUCCACGGGGGAAUUCUCUAUAGAAUCCACUUAUUGCUCUAUUAGUUAAGUAACAUCCACAAACUCUUUAUCAAGAGAACUGCCAUUAGAUUCCUCAUUCUCUUCCACCACCACUCUAUGGGAGCAUUAAAUUUGUUUUUCAUUUUAGGAUUUUUAACUACUCCAUUAGAUGUAGGUUCAUAAUGCACAUUAUGGAAUGGAUGAUUUCCAUGAGUAGUGCUUGCAUUAGGAUCAUCUAAGUUUACACCAUGAGUUGAUUGUUGUGUUUUACAAAUGCUUUGUUCAAUGCCUACAUUAUUAACCUAUACCAGUUAUUUCCUUUCCUUUAGAUACAUGUUUCUUGGUUAUGUUACCAUCUGAGAUCUGAACAUAAACUUUAGAGUUUCCUUCCUUGGUGUCCAAAAAGUUAGGUUUAAUUCUUACCUUUUUGCAGACUUCUAUGGAAUGGAUAACCAUAUUACAAAGGGAGCACAAGUGAGAUAAGUUCUCAUAUUAUAUGUCUAGAAAUAAGUAAAAAAAACUGCCUCUGAACCAGAACAUUGUAAGACAAGAGUGAAGAGAGAUCCAUAUCCCCUAUUACCCUAAAAAAUGACCAAAUGGAUGAUCAAACCUUGUAUUGGAUGCAAUGGAAUUAUUAGACAUGGGAGUACCCACACUUAUCUUGAUUCUAAAUAUGAUAUUAGGCAUCUCAUACUCUUACGCAAUAUCAAAUAACCUAAUCCAAACUUAUGUUGUAGUAACCCGUUGCAAGUCUAAGGUUGAAAUCCUUUUUCCAUGGCAAGAGUUUUAGAUUUCCAUCCAGCUUCCAUGCCAAAAUAAUUUUAGCUCUCUUUACUUACUCAAUAGGAGAAAAUGAAAACUCAAAAUCCUUUUCCAAGAGAAGUGAUACCCCAAUGACUUAGAUUUUCCGCAAUGGAGAUAGCUUGAUCUUUAAGGAAAUCAAACUCAAAGUGACAUGACCGUGAAGGUUAUGUUAACAUGCUCCGAGUCCAGCUAGAUAUUCCUCUUCUAGGAUUGAAAUGGUGGUUGUGUCACCCAUGAAGCAAGGUCGAGGAAGUUGAGAUGUUGUAAUAAGAAAGACAUUCUAGUUGACAUUAAGCUUGUGCGAAUGUUUUGAUAGCUUUGGUGUUAUUUGUAGUCUCUGAUGGGAUCUUAGAAGCACUAUAAAGGCACAACCAAGGAAUUUUGAACAUUAUCAUGGAAGGUUAUUGUCACGCGUGGCAGGUGAUUAACCUAGAAAGGAAAGGUUAGUGAUGUGG
This 1690-nucleotide long non-coding RNA is filed under the name Lathyrus oleraceus (garden pea). Its description in RNAcentral is "Pisum sativum (pea) long non-coding RNA (PSAT_LNC004605)". Lineage: Eukaryota; Viridiplantae; Streptophyta; Magnoliopsida; Fabales; Fabaceae. The record is from RNAcentral.